UUAUGACUCUCGGCAACAGAUAUCCAGGCUCUCGCAUCGAUGAAGAACGCAGCGAAAUGCGAUACUUUGUGUGAAUUGCAGAAUCUAGUGAACCAUCGAGUCUUUGAAUACAAGUUGCGCCCAAGGCCAUCCGGUCGAGGGAAAGCAUGUCUGGGCAUCACGCC
This 164-nucleotide ribosomal RNA is filed under the name Olsynium biflorum. RNAcentral's name for it is "5.8S ribosomal RNA". It matches the Rfam family "5.8S ribosomal RNA". Rfam says of the family: 5.8S ribosomal RNA (5.8S rRNA) is a component of the large subunit of the eukaryotic ribosome. The record is from RNAcentral. Lineage: Eukaryota; Viridiplantae; Streptophyta; Magnoliopsida; Asparagales; Iridaceae.